RNAcentral lists this ribosomal RNA (425 nucleotides) under uncultured bacterium. Its description in RNAcentral is "partial 16S ribosomal RNA". It matches the Rfam family "Bacterial small subunit ribosomal RNA", at positions 354 to 796 of the family's 1533-position model. The record is from RNAcentral.
GUGGGGAAUAUUGGGCAAUGGGCGAAAGCCUGACCCAGCAACGCCGCGUGAAGGAAGAAGGUUUUCGGAUCGUAAACUUCUAUCCUUGGUGAAGAUAAUGACGGUAGCCAAGAAGGAAGCCCCGGCUAACUACGUGCCAGCAGCCGCGGUAAUACGUAGGGGGCAAGCGUUGUCCGGAAUGAUUGGGCGUAAAGGGCGCGUAGGCGGCCUGGUAAGUCUGGAGUGAAAGUCCUGCUUUUAAGGUGGGAAUUGCUUUGGAUACUGUCGGGCUUGAGUGCAGGAGAGGUAAGCGGAAUUCCCGGUGUAGCGGUGAAAUGCGUAGAGAUCGGGAGGAACACCAGUGGCGAAGGCGGCUUACUGGACUGUAACUGACGCUGAGGCGCGAAAGUGUGGGGAGCAAACAGGAUUAGAUACCCUAGUAGUCC